RNAcentral lists this ribosomal RNA (247 nucleotides) under uncultured archaeon. Its description in RNAcentral is "partial 16S ribosomal RNA". It matches the Rfam family "Archaeal small subunit ribosomal RNA", at positions 691 to 937 of the family's 1478-position model. The record is from RNAcentral.
CCGACGGUGAGAGGCGAAAGCUGGGGGCACGAACCGGAUUAGAUACCCGGGUAGUCCCAGCCGUAAACGAUGCUCGCUAGGUGUCUGGGAUGGUGCGACCGUUUCAGGUGCCGCAGGGAAGCCGUGAAGCGAGCCACCUGGGAAGUACGGCCGCAAGGCUGAAACUUAAAGGAAUUGGCGGGGGAGCACUACAACGGGUGGAGCCUGCGGUUUAAUUGGACUCAACGCCGGAAAACUCACCUGGGGC